Molecule: ribosomal RNA, 377 nt
Filed under: uncultured bacterium
Lineage: Bacteria
Description: bacterial SSU rRNA
Rfam family: Bacterial small subunit ribosomal RNA
Source: RNAcentral
UAAGACAGAGGUGCCAAGCGUUAGGCGGAAUCACUGGGCUUAAAGCGUGUGUAGGCGGAUCGUUAAGUGUCUUGUGAAAUCCCACGGCUCAACCGUGGAACUGCUCGACAUACUGGCGAUCUUGAGCAACCUAGGGGCGAGCGGAACAAAUGGUGGAGCGGUGAAAUGCGUAGAUAUCAUUUGGAACGCCAAUGGUGAAAACAGCUCGCUGGGGGUUUGCUGACGCUGAGACACGAAAGCCAGGGGAGCGAACGGGAUUAGAUACCCCGGUAGUCCUGGCCGUAAACGAUGUCGACUAGAUCGUAGUGCCUCUGACGGUAUUACGGUCGAAGCAAAAGUGCUAAGUCGACCGCCUGGGAAGUACGGUCGCAAGGCUA